RNAcentral lists this ribosomal RNA (458 nucleotides) under uncultured bacterium. Its description in RNAcentral is "partial 16S ribosomal RNA". It matches the Rfam family "Bacterial small subunit ribosomal RNA", at positions 338 to 794 of the family's 1533-position model. The record is from RNAcentral.
CCUACGGGAGGCAGCAGUGAGGAAUAUUGGUCAAUGGGCGGAAGCCUGAACCAGCCAAGUAGCGUGCGGGAUGAAGGCCCUACGGGUCGUAAACCGCUUUUGCACGGGGAUAACACCAUCCACUUGUGGAGGUCUGCAGGUACCGUGCGAAUAAGGGCCGGCUAAUUCCGUGCCAGCAGCCGCGGUAAUACGGAAGGCCCGAGCGUUAUCCGGAUUCAUUGGGCUUAAAGGGAGCGUAGGCGGGCGUUCAAGUCAGCUGUAAAAGCGCGCGGCUCAACCGCGCCCCGCAGUUGAAACUGGACGCCUUGAGUUCACAACAGGCAGGCGGAAGUCGGGGUGUAGCGGUGAAAUGCAUAGAUACCACGAGGAACCCCGAUUGCGAAGGCAGCCUGCCGGGGUGCGACUGACGCUGAGGCUCGAAGGUGCGGGUAUCAAACAGGAUUAGAUACCCCAGUAGU